AUCGAUGAAGAACGCAGCGAAAUGCGAUAAGUAGUGUGAAUUGCAGAAUUCAGUGAAUCAUCGAAUCUUUGAACGCACAUUGCGCCCUUCGGUAUUCCGUUGGGCAUGCCUGUUCGAGCGUCAUUUAAACCUUCAAGCUCUGCUUGGUGUUGGGUGUUUGUUCCGCCUCAGCGCGUGGACUCGCCUUAAAUUCAUUGGCAGCCGGUAUAUUGGCUUCGUGCGCAGCACAUUGCGUCACGAUUCUAGUAUACCUUCUCCCAUUAAGCCUCUUUUUUACUUUGACCUCGGAUCAGGUAGGGAUACCCGCUGAACUUAAGCAUAUCAAUAAGCGGAGGAAAAGAAACCAACAGGGAUUGCCUCAGUAACGGCGAGUGAAGCGGCAAUAGCUCAAAUUUGAAAUCUGGCUCUUUUAGGGUCCGAGUUGUAAUUUGCAGAGGGCGCUUUGGCGUCGGCAGCAGCCUAAGUUCCUUGGAACAGGUCAUCAUAGAGGGUGAGAAUCCCGUAUGUGGCUGCUUGUCUUCGCCGUGUAAAGCCCCUUCGAUGAGUCGAGUUGUUUGGGAAUGCAGCUCUAAAUGGGAGGUGAAUUUCUUCUAAAGCUAAAUAUUGGCCAGAGACCGAUAGCGCACAAGUAGAGUGAUCGAAAGAUGAAAAGCACUUUGGAAAGAGAGUCAAAAAGCACGUGAAAUUGUUGAAAGGGAAGCGCUUGCAGCCAGACGUGCCCGCAGUUGUUCAUCCGGGGUUCUCCCCGGUGCACUCUUCUGUGGGCAGGCCAGCAUCAGUUCGGGCGGUUGGAGAAAGACCUGUGUCAUGUAGCUGUUCUCGGGCAGUGUUAUAGGGCAGGUGGAAUGCAACCAGCCGGAACUGAGGUCCGCGCAUCUGCUAGGAUGCUGGCGUAAUGGCUGUAAGCGGCCCGUCUUGAAACACGG
This 926-nucleotide ribosomal RNA is filed under the name uncultured fungus. RNAcentral describes it as "eukaryotic LSU rRNA". The stretch from base 280 to 926 matches the Rfam family "Eukaryotic large subunit ribosomal RNA", at positions 1 to 664 of the family's 3401-position model. The record is from RNAcentral. Lineage: Eukaryota; Fungi.